Molecule: long non-coding RNA, 445 nt
Filed under: Cyanistes caeruleus (blue tit)
Lineage: Eukaryota; Metazoa; Chordata; Aves; Passeriformes; Paridae
Description: lncRNA (ENSCCEG00000022036.1)
Source: RNAcentral
UCUUUGAUUUAGUCAUCAGGAAAAGUUCCCUUAAUCAGCUUUGCUUUACCUUAACUGGGAAAUUUGUUUCAGUUUACAGGGGUUACGUGCUGCCUGGUGAAGUUCAUGUCUGAGCAACCCCUCUUCUGAAGGAAACUCCAAAAAAACAGUUGGUUUCUGGCAGCUGCCCCUUUAUGAAGUUGUGCCUUCUGGGUCAGAGAUGAAAGGAGCUGGCUGUAACCCUGUGCAACUGAAACCCUUUUUCCGAAGGUCUAUAAACACUGGCCUUCAACCAAACCUUACAGCAAGAAUGUUUCUGUACUGGAUGAAGAGGGCAGUGAGUCAGUCCCUUUGUCUACUUUUGGAAGUAUGAUUGGAAUAUGAGAGUAAGUUGUUCCUGUUGACGUCUGAAUGCAGAUAGGACGGGAAUGUGGGAGGUCUGAUGGUGAGCGGGACCCCACCUGUG